This 265-nucleotide ribosomal RNA is filed under the name uncultured bacterium. RNAcentral describes it as "partial 16S ribosomal RNA". It matches the Rfam family "Bacterial small subunit ribosomal RNA", at positions 93 to 354 of the family's 1533-position model. The record is from RNAcentral.
CGUCGGCGCACGGGUGAGUAACACGUAUGCAACCUGGCCGUCACAGGUGGAUAACCGGAAGAAAUUCCGACUAAUACAGCAUAACACUCCUGAGGGACAUCCUUCGGGAGUCAAAGGAGGCAACUCCGGUGACGGAUGGGCAUGCGGCGCAUUAGGUAGUUGGUAGGGUAACGGCCUACCAAGCCGACGAUGCGUAGGGGUUCUGAGAGGAAGGUCCCCCACAUUGGAACUGAGACACGGUCCAAACUCCUACGGGAGGCAGCAG